UACGAAGGGGGCGAGCGUUGUUCGGAUUUACUGGGCGUAAAGGGCGCGUAGGCGGUGCGGUAAGUCACCUGUGAAAUCUCCUGGCUCAACUGGGAGCUUGCAGGCGAAACUGCCGUGCUGGAGUGUGGGAGAGGUGCGUGGAAUUCCUGGUGUAGCGGUGAAAUGCGUAGAUAUCAGGAGGAACACCUGUGGCGAAAGCGGCGCACUGGACCACAACUGACGCUGAGGCGCGAAAGCUAGGGGAGCAAACAGG
RNAcentral lists this ribosomal RNA (253 nucleotides) under uncultured bacterium. RNAcentral describes it as "partial 16S ribosomal RNA". It matches the Rfam family "Bacterial small subunit ribosomal RNA", at positions 524 to 776 of the family's 1533-position model. The record is from RNAcentral.